This 510-nucleotide ribosomal RNA is filed under the name uncultured bacterium. RNAcentral's name for it is "partial 16S ribosomal RNA". It matches the Rfam family "Bacterial small subunit ribosomal RNA", at positions 28 to 507 of the family's 1533-position model. The record is from RNAcentral.
GACGAACGCUGGCGGCGUGCUUAACACAUGCAAGUCGAACGAAGAGCGAUGGAAGCUUGCUUCUAUCAAUCUUAGUGGCGCACGGGUGAGUAACGCGUAAUCAACCUGCCCUUCAGAGGGGGACAACAGUUGGAAACGACUGCUAAUACCGCAUACGAUCUAAUCUCGGCAUCGAGGAUAGAUGAAAGGUGGCCUCUACAUGUAAGCUAUCACUGAAGGAGGGGAUUGCGUCUGAUUAGCUAGUUGGAGGGGUAACGGCCCACCAAGGCGAUGAUCAGUAGCCGGUCUGAGAGGAUGAACGGCCACAUUGGGACUGAGACACGGCCCAGACUCCUACGGGAGGCAGCAGUGGGGAAUCUUCCGCAAUGUACGAAAGUCUGACGGAGCAACGCCGCGGGAGUGAUGACGGCCUUCGGGUUGUAAAGCUCUGUUAAUCGGGACGAAAGGCCUUCUUGCGAAUAGUGAGAAGGAUUGACGGUACCGGAAUAGAAAGCCACGGCUAACUACGUG